This 1311-nucleotide ribosomal RNA is filed under the name Synalpheus microneptunus. RNAcentral's name for it is "16S ribosomal RNA". The stretch from base 871 to 1234 matches the Rfam family "Bacterial large subunit ribosomal RNA", at positions 2073 to 2647 of the family's 2925-position model. The record is from RNAcentral. Lineage: Eukaryota; Metazoa; Arthropoda; Malacostraca; Decapoda; Alpheidae.
GAAUUAGCAUAUUCUUGUUGGUGUGAAGGUGAUGAUUUAUAAGAAUAAUUAUGUGAACAAUCAUUUAAGAAAUAUUAGGUAGUAUGUGUUAUAGAAAGCUUGUAAUGUAGUAUAGUGUAUAAGUAUAGUAAUAGGGUUAGUUUUUUUAAUAUAAAGUAAUGUUUUAUGUUUGUACCUUUUGUAUCAGGGUUAAUUUAAGUUUUAUUGUUAUAUUAUUUAUCCCGAUUAGUGAAGAUUUAUUUUGGCGAUAUUUUGUUUGUGGCAUAAAGCAGUUUAACGUUAAGAUGGAAGUGAAACGCUGUCGGUUUACUUGUAUCUGGUUUUUAUAGAGUGAAGUUUAGUUUCAGUUCGAAUUUUUACGUGAUUUGAGGCUUAGAAUUGCGGGGACUAGCUCGUGGUUUAUUGAAGUAAUUAUAAAAUAGUGGUUGUUAUAAGUGAAAUGGGCUUGAGGUCGGUUAAUUUUAUAAAUCGUUUUAGAUAAGCUUUUUUUGGUUUUGAUUUUAGUGUUUUUUGUGGGGUAUAUAAAUUAGCUGUUUAGUUAAGAUUUAGUUGGGCUAAUGAUUAGAUAAGUAGAAUUUGUUGUUAAUUCGAGAAGGUUGGAAUAAGAAUGUUGUUUUAAGUUGUUUUAAGAGUUAAAAAGGAACUCGGCAAAAGUUUCUUCGCCUGUUUAUCAAAAACAUGUCUGUGUGAAUGUUAAUAUUUAGUCUGACCUGCCCACUGAGUUUUAAAGGGCUGCGGUAAUUUGACCGUGCGAAGGUAGCAUAAUCAAUAGUCUUUUAAUUGGAGGCUUGAAUGAAUGGUUUGACGGAGGAAAAUCUGUCUCUUUAAUUAUAUUGAAGUUAACAUUUGUGUGAAAAGGCAUUAAUAUUUUAGAGUGACGAUAAGACCCUAUAAAAUUUUACAUGUUAUAUUAUUUGAUUGAAUUGUUGAGUUAAUUGUUAGGUGGUUUAUUGGUGUUUCGCUGGGGCGGCUUGAAUAUAAUGCUAACUGUUUAUAAUAUAAAAUAUUUAUUAAUAGAGAGAGGUCCUUUAUUAAGGAGGUAAGAGUAAGUUACUUUAGGGAUAACAGCAUAAUUUCUUUUGAGAGUUCGUAUUGAAGAAGGUAGUUGUGACCUCGAUGUUGAAUUAAACUGUCCUUUAGGUGUAGGAGUUUGGAAGGAGGGCCUGUUCGGCCUAUAAAUGUUUACAUGAUUUGAGUUCAAACCGGUGUGAGCCAGGUUGGUUUCUAUCUUCUAGCUAAUAAUAUAUUGUUAUAGUACGAAAGGAUUUAAUAGUAUAGAUAUUCUAUGUGUUAUUUGAAUUAAAUUAAUAU